RNAcentral lists this ribosomal RNA (468 nucleotides) under uncultured bacterium. Its description in RNAcentral is "partial 16S ribosomal RNA". It matches the Rfam family "Bacterial small subunit ribosomal RNA", at positions 28 to 507 of the family's 1533-position model. The record is from RNAcentral.
GACGAACGCUGGCGGCGUGCUUAACACAUGCAAGUCGAACGGAAAGGCCCUGCUUUUGUGGGGUGCUCGAGUGGCGAACGGGUGAGUAACACGUGAGUAACCUGCCCUUGACUUUGGGAUAACUUCAGGAAACUGGGGCUAAUACCGGAUAGGAGCUCCUGCUGCAUGGUGGGGGUUGGAAAGUUUCGGCGGUUGGGGAUGGACUCGCGGCUUAUCAGCUUGUUGGUGGGGUAGUGGCUUACCAAGGCUUUGACGGGUAGCCGGCCUGAGAGGGUGAACGGCCACAUUGGGACUAAGGUACGGCCCAGACGCCUACGGGAGGCAGCAGUGGGGAAUAUUGCACAAUGGGCGGAAGCCUGAUGCAGAAACGCCGCGUGCGGGAUGACGGCCUUCGAGUUGUAAACCGCUUUCGACUGUGACAAAGCGUUAGUGACGGUAAUGGGUAAGGAAGCACCGGCUAACUACGUG